This 227-nucleotide unclassified non-coding RNA is filed under the name Clavaria falcata. RNAcentral describes it as "partial internal transcribed spacer 2". The record is from RNAcentral. Lineage: Eukaryota; Fungi; Basidiomycota; Agaricomycetes; Agaricales; Clavariaceae.
AUCUCUCAACACAGACAAGUUUUACUACUUGUUCUGUUGCUUGGAUGUUGAAGGCUUGCUGGCAGUCUGACUGUCAGCUCCUUUUAAAUGUAUUAGCAGAAAAAUGCAGAACUGGCUUCAGUUUGAUAAAUGACUUAUCUGUGUUGCUGUUGCUAGGAUAAUGCAAAUCUUUUUGCUUCUAAUAGUCUCUUCAUGAGACUGUCUCAUUUGAGGCAUACAAUCUUGAC